RNAcentral lists this transfer RNA (77 nucleotides) under Alcanivorax borkumensis. RNAcentral's name for it is "tRNA-Pro". It matches the Rfam family "tRNA". From Rfam's summary of the family: Transfer RNA (tRNA) molecules are approximately 80 nucleotides in length. RNAcentral also lists the same sequence under 10 other names. Lineage: Bacteria; Pseudomonadati; Pseudomonadota; Gammaproteobacteria; Oceanospirillales; Alcanivoracaceae. The record is from RNAcentral.
CGGAGUAUAGCUCAGCUUGGUAGAGUACUACGUUCGGGACGUAGGGGUCGCAGGUUCGAAUCCUGCUACUCCGACCA